AGGCUUCUUUAACUCUAUUCAGUCAAUUCAAUAUAAAACAUCAUCCAAAACUACCGAAGAACUUGUUGCUGCAGUGGAUGAGAUCAGGCUUUUCAGGGUUACUCUGUGCACCAAUUAAAUAGAAUUUUCUUGACUCUCCAUGGUUGUAUGAAGGAAGUAAUGAAAGUCGGUGGUGGCAAUGGAUAUGAUGUUCCACACAUCAGAAAAGGGAUGCUCAAAAGGCAAGGGUGUCUCCCGUUGCAACUGAAGUGUGAAGCGCAAUUGGUGCAGGCUGCUAUGGCUCAAAUCAAUGAAUAAAGAGUGAAAUAAAGAGUAGUGUCUGUAAUGGUCUUGUGUCAGUCCUGCAGUGUCUAUAAUGUUUGACAGUACCUGUAAUAUCAUGUGUCACUGAAUCUGCAUUAUGUGUGUGAUUGAGUCUGCAUUCUCUGUUAUACUACUGUGCUUCAGAUCAGAUCCUAUGUCAGCUAUGCUAA
Long non-coding RNA from Panicum virgatum (switchgrass), 473 nucleotides. RefSeq lists it as uncharacterized. The record is from RefSeq and is a predicted model, not a curated record. The transcript is spliced from 2 exons. NCBI's taxonomy places the organism in Eukaryota, Viridiplantae, Streptophyta, Magnoliopsida, Poales, Poaceae.